AAGGAAAAAAAAGAUGAAAAAAAGAUGGUUGCUCCCUCAUUGACUUGGAAUUCUCUGGACUCCAAUUCACGUGGUCGAACUUACUAUCCUCAUCGUUCCUCAUCCUGGAGAGACUUGAUCGUGUGAUUGCAAAUGCUGCCUGGCGGGCUCUGUUUCCUGGGCCGUAGUGUAUCAUCUUCCCCGAUCAAACUCAAAUGAUAGCCCUUUACUUCUAUCCCUUCGGCAAUCCAGCUCGGAUUUGUUCUUCAUCAGUCGGCUUUGACAGCACUGCCUAAAAAAUUAAACCGUCAUUGCAGCCCGAUUGCAGGAACUCGUCAUAGAUUUUCUUCUGCACCACGGCCUUGGGUGAGUUCUACUUCCAAGGUGGCUCUCAUUUGCUCGGUAAGCUUUGACAAGCCGUUUCAUGAUGGGUCGUCAAUAGAGAGACCUCCUGAUUGCAGCUUGCUUGAAACAGGAACAGGCACUAACUUGACCUAGUUUGGGUCAAGUGUCGAUCAUCCGCCAUUGUAACUCGGCAGUUAGCAUCUUCAAGGACUUGGUCCAUUUGUUUAUGUGAUUACACUGCUCAGAUCAUCCUUGACUCUCUGAGAGCUGUGAGAUUGUUUGGUAGGACAUUGGCUAUGAUGAGAAUGAGCUCACAUGUGAGCCUGGAUAUAUGCUCGGCAGGGUUUGAUUAGAAUGAGCUCACAUUGGGAAGACAGUUCGAGAGAAUGGUACGUAUCUGGAGGAUUGAAAUGCCUAUAAGUCUAAAUGACUACAUCUUUGCUUGUUACCAUGCAUAUAAAUGAUAUCUAGGCCUACAACAUACAAUCUGAAGGUCUGGCAAAUCCAGAGGUGAUGCUGAAACUUCUAAAGAUUAAUACGAUCUAUUAAUAGAGCUCUCAGAUUAGGGAAAAUCUAUGUUGGUUGCUGUAGAACUGGCAUGGUCAUAGUUGUAUAGUAUCCAUAGAGUAGUGUACUGUCCAAGAGGAUAAUAUGAAGAGUCAAGAGUGCAAAGUUUCGCAUAAUUCAACGGAAAUAAUCCCCAGAACACAGAAAGUCCAACGAUGUCAUCAAAGAAGUGUUCACUGUUGAACUUUAGGACCAAACGCGAACUCAAGAAACUUGUACCAAUCAAGCGCUUUUACAAAGCACAGACUGAGGCUUUCUUGGCACA
Molecule: non-coding RNA, 1156 nt
Organism: Punica granatum (pomegranate)
Lineage: Eukaryota; Viridiplantae; Streptophyta; Magnoliopsida; Myrtales; Lythraceae
Source: RefSeq, a predicted model, not a curated record